AUGGGAAUUGAAGUGACACAGUUCCAUCAACUUCUUUGUGCAAUAAUUGAAAAUUUUUCCUCAUGCAGGAAUUAUAUUCUCAAAGUUAUUGUUACUGCCAACCCAUUUAAUUAUAAAAACAAGCAGGUGGACUCCCGGCGAGUAGGGGAUGGCGGCGGGGCAGGCGGCACCUUCCAGCCCUACCUGGACUCUUUGAGACAAGAGCUACAGCAGAGUGACCCGACGCUGUUGUCAGUAGCACUGGCGGUCGCCGCGGUGCUGCUGACGCUGGUGGUAUGGAAAUUCAUCUGGAGCCGAAAAAGCAGUCAAAGAACAGUUCUUCUUGUGGGUCUUUGUGACUCCGGGAAAACACUGCUGUUUGUCAGGCUGUUAACGGGCCAUUACAGAGACACGCAGACUUCUAUUACUGACAGCUCUGCAGUGUACAGAGUCAACAAUAACAGGGGUAAUAGUUUGACCUUGAUUGACCUGCCUGGGCAUGAAAGCUUGAGGCUUCAGUUCCUAGAGCGGUUUAAGUCUUCGGCAAGAGCUUUUGUGUUUGUUGUGGACAGUGCAUCAUUCCAGCGAGAGGUGAAAGACGUGGCCGAGUUUCUGUAUCAAGUCCUCCUAGACAGUAUGGGUCUGAAGAACACACCAUCAUUCUUAAUAGCCUGCAACAAGCAAGAUAUCACAAUGGCAAAAUCAGCAAAGUUAAUUCAGCAGCAACUUGAGAAAGAACUCAACACCUUACGAGUUACCCGCUCUGCUGCGCCCAGCACACUGGACAGUUCCAGCACUGUCCCUGCUCAUCUAGGAAAGAAAGGCAAAGAGUUUGAAUUCUCACAGCUGCCCUUCAAAGUGGAGUUCCUCGAGUGCAGUGCCAAGGGUGGGAGAGGGGAUGGAGGUUCUGCCAACGUCCAGGACCUGGAGAAAUGGCUGGCUAAAAUUGCCUGAGGGGCAGGUCCCGAGCACAGGCCGUAGCUGCGCGUGACUGGCAGUACUGGAAAAUGUGUGGUAGUCUGGAGUUGAUAAAGGCUACAAAAUUUAGUUAGGAAUGUUCCCUUGUUCUAGAAACAAAUGACUGUUCAUACCGGCUUGGCAGUUUUAAGUUCUUUUCUGUCAUUGUUUGCUUUUAAACAUUCAUUUUGAUGUCACUCUCGGAUUGUGUCCUUUAGCCUGUGCUUGAUUUAAGGUCAAGGUCUUUGUGACAUAACAAGCAGACUCCACACAGAGGAUACUGUUGAGACAUGUGUUUAUCAUCUAAAAAGUUUUCUUAUCCUUGGCUUUGUGCUUUGGUCUCUUUGCUGAAAAUAAACCAUCUGUUUAUGAAGGUAGUUGAUCUCCAGUUACCCCUUCCAUUCCGGGGCAAUAUAUGGUCUAAUAAGUGAAUUCUUAGGUUUAUAGAUAAUUUUCCCAAUUGUGAAAACCAGUAUAAAAGAACAUGGCGGAGUUGGCAGGGGUUGUUGAUCAGCUCACUGUCUUGUCCGUGCUGCAGCCUCAGCAGCAUGUCUAAAGGCUGGAUAGGAGCCCUUGGUGGUGUGGGAUUCCUGGCUGAUAGGAACAUACAUACUAAAUCCCCACGACUCGUGGCUGGUGGUUCGCUGCGGGGUGUGGGAGUGCUGAACAUGCCUUGGCAUCUGUGGAUGGCCUAGGGCUUGUGGCAUUCCAUUUGCUGCCCAGUCAGCUUAUUUUGUACCCUGAACUAGAGUGCUGUGGAACAAAAAAUGUAAAAAGGGUUUUUGUAGAUUCUGGGGUUCUGUAUUCAUGCUUUUGAAAAAGUGAUGUUCUCUCUUAAAUAUUUGGCUUUUUUAUUGCCUUUGUAAGUGGUUAAUACUGUGCUUGAUAAAUAAAAAAGGCUUUUGGUUUUUGA
Molecule: RNA transcript, 1849 nt
Organism: Octodon degus (degu)
Lineage: Eukaryota; Metazoa; Chordata; Mammalia; Rodentia; Octodontidae
Gene name: signal recognition particle receptor subunit beta pseudogene
Exons: 2
Source: RefSeq, a predicted model, not a curated record